RNAcentral lists this ribosomal RNA (495 nucleotides) under uncultured bacterium. RNAcentral describes it as "partial 16S ribosomal RNA". It matches the Rfam family "Bacterial small subunit ribosomal RNA", at positions 28 to 507 of the family's 1533-position model. The record is from RNAcentral.
GACGAACGCUGGCGGCGUGCCUAAUACAUGCAAGUAGAACGCUGAAGGAGGAGCUUGCUCUUCUGGAUGAGUUGCGCACGGGUGAGUAACGCGUAGGUAACCUGCCUGUUAGCGGGGGAUAACUCUUGGAAACGAUAGCUCAUACCGCAUAACAGUAGAUGUUGCAUGACAUUUACUUAAAAGGUGCAAUUGCAUCACUACCAGAUGGUCCUGCGUUGUAUUAGCUAGUUGGUGGUGUAACGGCUCACCAAGGCGACGAUACAUAGCCGACCUGAUGAGGUGAUCGGCCAAACUGGGACUGGGAAAAGGCCCAGACCUCUAAGGGAGGCAGCAGUAGGGAAUCUUCGGGAAUGGACGGAAGUCUGACCGAGCAAAGCCGCGUGAGUGAAGAAGGGUUUCGGAUCGUAAAGCUCUGUUGUAAGAGAAGAAAGAGUGUGAGAGUGGAAAGUGCACAUUGUGACGGUAUCUUACCAGAAAGGGACGGCUAACUACGUG